This 468-nucleotide ribosomal RNA is filed under the name uncultured bacterium. Its description in RNAcentral is "partial 16S ribosomal RNA". It matches the Rfam family "Bacterial small subunit ribosomal RNA", at positions 28 to 507 of the family's 1533-position model. The record is from RNAcentral.
GACGAACGCUGGCGGCGUGCUUAACACAUGCAAGUCGAACGGAAAGGCCCUGCUUUUGUGGGGUGCUCGAGUGGCGAACGGGUGAGUAACACGUGUGUAACCUGCCCUUGACUUUGGGAUAACUUCAGGAAACUGGGGCUAAUACCGGAUAGGAGCUCCUGCUGCAUGGUGGUGGUUGGAAAGUUUCGGCGGUUGGGGAUAGACUCGCGGCUUAUCAGCUUCUUGGUGGGGUAGUGGCUUACCACGGGUUUGACGGGUAGCCGGCCUGAGAGGUGAGCCGGGCACAUGAGUACUAAGAGACGGCCCAGACGCCUACGGGCGGCAGCGGGGGGAAAUAUGGCACAAUGGGCGGAAGCGUGAUAUAGCAACGCCGCGAGCGGGAUAACCUCCUUCGAGUUGUAAACCGCUUUCGCAUGUAACAAAGAGUGAUUGACGGUAAUGGGUAAAGAAGCACCGGCUAACUUCGUG